UACGGAGGGGGCUAGCGUUGCUCGGAAUUACUGGGCGUAAAGCGCGCGUAGGCGGACUAUUAAGUCAGGGGUGAAAUCCCGGGGCUCAACCCCGGAACUGCCCUUGAUACUGGUAGUCUGGAGUUCUGGAGAGGUGAGUGGAAUUCCAGGUGUAGCGGUGAAAUUCGUAGAUAUUCGGAGGAACGCCAGUGGCGAAGGCGGCUCACUGGCUCGAUACUGACGCUGAGGUGCGAAAGUGUGGGGAGCAAACAGG
RNAcentral lists this unclassified non-coding RNA (253 nucleotides) under uncultured Rhodobacterales bacterium. Its description in RNAcentral is "contains 16S-23S intergenic spacer region". It matches the Rfam family "Bacterial small subunit ribosomal RNA", at positions 524 to 776 of the family's 1533-position model. The record is from RNAcentral. Lineage: Bacteria; Pseudomonadati; Pseudomonadota; Alphaproteobacteria; Rhodobacterales.